Rosa rugosa (rugosa rose) is the source of this 376-nucleotide long non-coding RNA. RefSeq lists it as uncharacterized. Lineage: Eukaryota; Viridiplantae; Streptophyta; Magnoliopsida; Rosales; Rosaceae. The record is from RefSeq and is a predicted model, not a curated record. The transcript has 3 exons.
AACAAAAAGGUAUUUUUUAGACUAGUUCUCUCCUUGGAGCCCCACCGAACUCAAUCCUUCAGCACUCCCGGCCGACUGCAUAGCCUGAUAGCCAGAGUCUUCUUCUUCAGAGUUCAGACUACCGAUUCUUCAGAUUGAGUUCUAGUCUUCUGCUUCUUCAGUUCUUCCUCUCUUAACUAUGUGAAUAAAUUGCUGGGUUGCCGGCAGUGUGUGGGUUGACGAAUUUCCUGGGUGAGUUACUGAGUUUGAUGAAAUUGCUGGGUGAAUUGGGUAUCAAGCAGUUGAGUAAAAGAUUGGAGCUUUUGGUUCUUUGACGUUUUUGGGGAGUUUUGGAGAAAGGAUGGAGCAAAGCUGGGUUGGUGCUUGUUUGGGGAAA